GAUGAACGCUGGCGGCGUGCCUAAUACAUGCAAGUCGAGCGAACAGACGAGGAGCUUGCUCCCUUGACGUUAGCGGCGGACGGGUGAGUAACACGUGGAUAACCUAUCUAUAAGAGUGGGAUAACUUCGGGAAACAGGAGCUAAUAUACGAUAACAUUGUGAACCGCAUGGUUCAACAGUGAAAGACGGUGUUUCUGUCACUAAUGGAUGGUUCCGCGCCGCAUUAGCUAGUUGGUAAGGUAACGGCUUACCAAGGCAACGAUGCGUAGCCGACCUGAGAGGGUGAUCGGCCACACUGGAACUGAGACACGGUCCAGACUCCUACGGGAGGCAGCAGUAGGGAAUCUUCCGCAAUGGGCGAAAGCCUGACGGAGCAACGCCGCGUGAGUGAAGAAGGUCUUCGGAUCGUAAAACUCUGUUAUUAGGGAAGAACAAAUGUGUAAGUAACUAUGCACGUCUUGACGGUACCUAAUCAGAAAGCCACGGCUAACUACGUG
Molecule: ribosomal RNA, 497 nt
Filed under: uncultured bacterium
Lineage: Bacteria
Description: partial 16S ribosomal RNA
Rfam family: Bacterial small subunit ribosomal RNA
Source: RNAcentral